This 2684-nucleotide long non-coding RNA is filed under the name Lynx pardinus (Iberian lynx). Lineage: Eukaryota; Metazoa; Chordata; Mammalia; Carnivora; Felidae. The record is from RNAcentral.
GCAUUGUCAAGAGUGGGGUUUUCUUUAAUUCAAAUUCAGUUGUAUGAUGUACAAAGGGUUCAUAUGAAGAUAUAAUGCAAACUAUAAAACUUCUAGAAUGCCUUUACUGAAUUUUGGUGUAAAGAGUAAACAAAAUUUCUUCUACAAAAUGAUUAGGAACUUUUUAUGCAAAAAUGAGUUAUUUUAUUUUGGCAGCACUAAAAGAAAAAAAAAAACCCACUGUAUUUCUACAUUGAGGUGAAAACAGUGUUUCAACUUUCUUAUCAAAUACAUUCCAAAAGAAAGUGUGUUCUAUGAAGGUUCCAAAGCACAGGCAAAUCUUAACACAAUAAUACAGGAAUCUGUAAUACUGAAAAUGUCUGUUCGGAUAGGGUGUUUAACAAACAUAACUUUUGAAUUAUAAAACCAGCGAAGCAAACCCUUCCUAGUAACCGUGUCGAGUGAAAUUGGGCUUGCUCCAUUAAUACUCUAAUGAUUCUAUUGUAAUACUUUUUACUGUUAUGACAAUUUUAAAUAAAGUUUGCUGUACUUAAAAUAAGUUUUGAAAGUGGAAAAGUGUACAAAGUUCCAGAUAAAAAGAUUAAGAGAUGCAAUUUAAAUAAAAUUUCUCCUCUUUUCUUUUACCAGUUAACAAUGAUUACCUUUAGCUGAUACAGAUUGAACUUUAAAACCCAACUCCUGAAAUGAAAACUUCUGUUUAAAUUUUUGUCAGACAGAGAAGGAAAAGAUUACUAUAUUUGGACAUCUUUUACAAGAAUUGUUUUUUUGUUUUUGUUUUUUUGUAUUAAAGCAGAAACCAGUUCCUAAACCCUUUUUAUUCAAUUGUUUAUCCUGUUUGGACAAAUAUCAAAAAAUAGAAGACUGUCACUUUUGCUUUUGUAAUUGUGAUUUUUCACUGCAGUCUUCUAUAACUUUUACAGAGUUCAUGGUCCCUAAUAUCUCCCCACCCUCCAUUUUUCCUAGGUGGGGAAAUGGCUGCCACAAACUUCUCACUGAUAGUUAGAGUGUCUGGAAACAAGUACUGUUUGUUAUUAUUUACGAGUGACUCAAUUUGGGCACUCUGGGUGGAUGGUCUACAGGUUUUCUUGUGGUGCAUACCACAGUCUCCAGCAUGAAAUAUCCUAGGAACUUGAGGAACCAGCACUUUCCAGAAUUUUGGAAGACAGGAUACAGUUAAAUAUUGAAGAGUCCAGUCCCAGUUAUAAUCAUCGUAAGUACAGAAAGUGUCUGUGCACUCAAUCAACUUCUGAUACGCAUCCCGGGUCAAGGCUAGACCCAUAUUGUGCUCUGUGGAUUUCCAAGUUUUCACGUCUACCUUGUCAGCAAUGCCAUGGAAACUGCGACUGGCCGUAUAGGUCCCCAGGGAGAGAACAUCACACUCAGGACACUCUUGCUGCUUUAACUUCCACAUCUUUUUGAAGACGUGGUAAAAGUCUGGGGCUAAGUAGUGAUCCUCCUCUAGGAAAAGUAUGAGGCCAGCAUAGUCUCGAAGAACUUUGACCCUUUCCCAUACAAAAUGCAGCUUCCACCACCAAUGGUGUUUGGUUUGGGAGAACUUGGCCUCUCUAUAAUGGCCAAAGGAGUCGGGAUACUCAGCAUUAAUGCAUCCCAUCUUCAAAGCUGCAUUCUUCUCCAGGUCUCGGGGGCAAUCUCUGGGGUCGCUGCCUGGAAACUCGUUGGGGUACAACUGAAUGCUGAAAGGAAAGAACACCUGCAGAACCGGACAGAAAUCCACCCCAGCGAUCAGUUGAUUGAUUUCUGUCGACCAGAAGUCAUGGCUAAAGAUGACGAGGACGCUGUCGAUGCCCUGGGCUUUCCGGAGGGAGUCCAGCAGCAGUCUGAGGUAAUCGGGCCGGUUAUGCACCUGGACCACCAGCACCAGCUCUCGAGGGAUCCAGGAGCCGGCCUUAUCUACAUUCCUCAGCGUCUGGUCGAAGUUCAGCUGGUACACUAGGGACCUGUACCGCAGCGUCAGGUUGUCCGCCUCGGGCUGCGGGGCCGCGGGGACCAGCGGAGCCGCCGACUCGUUGGAGACCCGGCGGAUGCCCACGGACACAGCCGAAUGGUCCCCGCCCCGGCCGCCCGCACCUCGCGCGGGCUCGGCGUCCAGCAGCGGCGGGGCGAGGGCCUCGUUUUUCCUUUGUCGCCCAUUGCUGCUCCAGAGGACGAAGCCGCAGGCGGCCACCACGAGCGUCAGGAUCAGCACCUUCCGCUUGUAGAUGCGGAACCUCAUGGUCUCCAGGGCCGGGAGCGCUGGCGGGCGGGCGCGAAAAGGAGCUAGCGGCUUUUGCACAGAAGGGGCGGGCGGGUGGCGGCCGUCGCCUUGGCCUGAGGCAGUCGGAACUGGACCCCGCGGCUGCGCUAGCUAACUCAUCCCGGGCCCCGGGGGUCCUGGGGCCCGAAGGGUCUCAGCUCCCCCGCGCCGCCCGGGCUCCACACAUCCUCGCCUGGCAGCUGCAGCUCGGGCAGCGGCCCCGCGGCUAGGAGCCGCGGCUCGGCAUCGCCUCGGUCCUCUCCAUUCAGCAAGGGUCCCGGAAGAAACCCCGCAGCGGCCCCACCGCACUCCCGCUUGGUUACCUGCGCCUCCAGCGGCCCUGCGUCCUCUGCGCUCUCAUCCUUACACGGGCCCUACACCUCCAAGACCGAGCGACGCAGCCUCGCCCCACUCCGGCGGCGACCGUUCU